UUUAUUUUAUUCUUCGACAUUUAAGGUAACUGCAAACAUAUUGUUGAAAGAAAAUAAAAGGUACUUCUCAGGCUUUUUUAGUCUGCAGUAACUUAAAGAAAAGAACCCAGA
Ictidomys tridecemlineatus (thirteen-lined ground squirrel) is the source of this 111-nucleotide unclassified non-coding RNA. NCBI's taxonomy places the organism in Eukaryota, Metazoa, Chordata, Mammalia, Rodentia, Sciuridae. The record is from Ensembl.